UGGGGAAUAUUGCACAAUGGGCGAAAGCCUGAUGCAGCAACGCCGCGUGAGUGAUGAAGGCCUUCGGGUUGUAAAGCUCUGUCUUUUGGGACGAUAAUGACGGUACCAAAGGAGGAAGCCACGGCUAACUACGUGCCAGCAGCCGCGGUAAUACGUAGGGUGCAAGCGUUAAUCGGAAUUACUGGGCGUAAAGCGUGCGUAGGCGGAUUUUUAAGUGAGAUGUGAAAUACCCGGGCUUAACUUGGGUGCUGCAUUUCAAACUGGGAAUCUAGAGUGCGGGAGAGGAGAAUGGAAUUCCUAGUGUAGCGGUGAAAUGCGUAGAGAUUAGGAAGAACACCAGUGGCGAAGGCGAUUCUCUGGACCGUAACUGACGCUGAGGCAUGAAAGCGUGGGUAGCAAACAGGAUUAGAUACCCUGGUAGUCCACGCCGUAAACGAUGAGUACUAGGUGUAGGAGGUAUCGACCCCUUCUGUGCCGCAGUUAACACAAUAAGUACUCCGCCUGGGAAGUACGAUCGCAAGA
This 522-nucleotide ribosomal RNA is filed under the name uncultured bacterium. RNAcentral describes it as "partial 16S ribosomal RNA". It matches the Rfam family "Bacterial small subunit ribosomal RNA", at positions 355 to 893 of the family's 1533-position model. The record is from RNAcentral.